UGGAUCAGUUGGUAGAGCAUGGUGUUUGCAACGCCAGGGUUGUGGGUUCGAUUCCCAC
Salmo salar (Atlantic salmon) is the source of this 58-nucleotide non-coding RNA. The record is from Rfam. NCBI's taxonomy places the organism in Eukaryota, Metazoa, Chordata, Actinopteri, Salmoniformes, Salmonidae.